UACGUAGGGGGCAAGCGAUACUCGGAAUCACUAGGCGUAAAGCGCAGGUAGGCGGUUUGGCAAGUCUUUUGUGAAAGCCCCCGGCUUAACUGGGAGAGGUCAAGGGAAACUACCGGACUAGAGUGUGGUAGGGGAUACUGGAAUUCCUGGUGUAGCGGUGAAAUGCGUAGAUAUCAGGAGGAAUACCUAUGGCGAAAGCAGGUAUCUGGGCCAUCACUGACGCUGAGCUGCGAAAGCUAGGGGAGCGAACAGG
Molecule: ribosomal RNA, 253 nt
Filed under: uncultured bacterium
Lineage: Bacteria
Description: partial 16S ribosomal RNA
Rfam family: Bacterial small subunit ribosomal RNA
Source: RNAcentral